This is a non-coding RNA of Zea mays, 198 nucleotides long. The record is from Rfam. Lineage: Eukaryota; Viridiplantae; Streptophyta; Magnoliopsida; Poales; Poaceae.
AUUUUUUCUCAGCCUUUUGGCUAAAAUAAAGGGUAAUAUUUGUCCUUAUCUGAUUAAUAUCUGAUAUAGGGAGCAUAUAUUCACUUUGAUAUAUUUUUUGGUAUCAAAUUGGUCGUGUGUCGUUGCAACGGGCAUUGUACUAGUGUAUUUUUGUAAAAUGGGUGCUCCUACACGUACGGUUCUAGUGUUAGACCGAUA